AAACGUUUAAUCCCGCUGCAAAUGUUUGCAUCUGUCCUAAGUCAGGAAUCUGAUGUACAGUAGUUGUCGUUUGUUUAUGUAAUUUAUAAGUGUUUCUCGUUUCUCGUUUUUUUAUUUUAUAUAGAUUAGACCGUUGUUUUUUCCCGUUUGAAUGGUUUUACACUAGUAAUUUUGGGGCCCUUUAUAGCUUGUUGUUCGGUGUGAGCCAAGGCUCCGUGUUGAAGGCCGUACAUUGACCUAUAAUGGUUUACUUUUUUACAUUGUUAUUUGGAUGGAGAGUUGUCUCAUUGGCACUCACACCACAUCUUCC
RNAcentral lists this long non-coding RNA (310 nucleotides) under Mytilus galloprovincialis (Mediterranean mussel). The record is from RNAcentral. Lineage: Eukaryota; Metazoa; Mollusca; Bivalvia; Mytilida; Mytilidae.